This 498-nucleotide ribosomal RNA is filed under the name uncultured bacterium. Its description in RNAcentral is "partial 16S ribosomal RNA". It matches the Rfam family "Bacterial small subunit ribosomal RNA", at positions 30 to 523 of the family's 1533-position model. The record is from RNAcentral.
AUUGAACGCUGGCGGCAUGCCUUACACAUGCAAGUCGAACGGUAACAGGUCUUCGGAUGCUGACGAGUGGCGAACGGGUGAGUAAUACAUCGGAACGUGCCUAGUAGUGGGGGAUAACUACUCGAAAGAGUGGCUAAUACCGCAUGAGAUCUACGGAUGGAAGCAGGGGAUCGCAAGACCUUGUGCUACUAGAGCGGCCGAUGGCAGAUUAGGUAGUUGGUGGGAUAAAAGCUUACCAAGCCGACGAUCUGUAGCUGGUCUGAGAGGACGAUCAGCCACACUGGGACUGAGAAACGGCCCAGACUCCUACGGGAGGCAGCAGUGGGGAAUUUUGGACAAUGGGCGCAAGCCCGAUCCAGCAAUGCCGCGUGCAGGAUGAAGGCCUUCGGGUUGUAAACUGCUUUUGUACGGAACGAAAAGCCCCGGGUUAAUACCCUGGGGUCAUGACGGUACCGUAAGAAUAAGCACCGGCUAACUACGUGCCAGCAGCCGCCGUAG